RNAcentral lists this long non-coding RNA (1182 nucleotides) under Numida meleagris (helmeted guineafowl). RNAcentral describes it as "lncRNA (ENSNMEG00000012647.1)". The record is from RNAcentral. Lineage: Eukaryota; Metazoa; Chordata; Aves; Galliformes; Numididae.
GGGAGGCUGAGACCCAGAGCUCACGAUGUGCCUUUGGCGGAGGCCGUGGGGACACCACCACCCAACGCCUCCGGUCUGGGGCCGUCUCUCACCCCAGGUGCCGGUGGGGAAGGCCAGUGCUGGGGAUGCUGCAGACUGCACACAGGGUAAGCUCCGCCAAGCCCCGCUGAGCCCUGAGCAGCACGCAGAGCAGUGACUGGAGCUGCCUUUUUCCAGCUGUCAUCAAAGAAACGGAGAAGAAGGUGGAAUUCGCAGUUGCCGAAGAGCCAGUCCCCGCGUCGGCAUCGGUGUUUGAGAGCGUGGGGAGCAGCGUGCUGUCCUGGAUCUCCCAGGGGCUGGAGAAGGUGGUCCCACAGCCGGCCCCGGCCCUGGGGUCACUGCAGGCGCUCGGGAAGAGCUUCGAGACCAGCGUCGACGUCCCCGACCAGACUGAGGUGCAGGUCCUUAAGGAUGAGGAUGAGGAUGCUCUUGGUAAGGGGAGCAGUGAGCCCACGGCUUGAGGUUCCCUCCUGGUUGCCAGCCCCUGGACACCCAAUCCUGCUCUCCCUGCAGAGAUCACCCCCUUUGACCCCGAGGAGGACGAGCAGGAUGGCUGCGAGCUGGAGGAUAGCUUGGGCACGAGCACAGAGACCUGGUGGGUUCCCAGUGUGCAGCAUCCCAUCAGCAGGAGGAGGGGUGGCAUAGGGUGGAGAGAUGUGGGGUACAGGGCAUGGGAUGGAGGGAUGCGGGAUAUGAAAUGAGCAGACAGGGGAUGUGAGAUGCAGGAUGUAGGAUAUGAGUUUGGGGGUGAACAGACGUGGGAUGUGGGAUGCAGGAUUCAGGAUAUGGGAUUUGGGGUGGGCAGACGUGUGAUGUGGGAUGCAGGAUGCAGGAUGUGGGAUGGAGGGACGUGGGUUGUGGGAUUUGGGAUGGACGGAUGUGGGAUGCAGGAUGAGGGAUAUGGAAUGAUGUGGAAUGUGGGAUACAGGAUUUAGGAUGGAGGGAUGUGGGAUAAGGGAUUGUAGGGUGAGGGAUUUGGGAUAAGGGAUUGUGAGAUGAAGGAUGUGAGAUGUAGGAUGCAGGAUUUGAGAUUGACUGACACAGAACAUGGGAUGGAGUGAUGUGGGAUGGACAGGCACGGGAUGGAGGGAUGUGGGAUGGAGGGAUGCAGGUUGGGAGAUAUGGGAUAGGCGAUGUGGGAAU